Molecule: long non-coding RNA, 900 nt
Organism: Harmonia axyridis
Lineage: Eukaryota; Metazoa; Arthropoda; Insecta; Coleoptera; Coccinellidae
Exons: 3
Source: RefSeq, a predicted model, not a curated record
UUACGGAUAACAUAGAUAGAACACUCGCCUUCCCCCACCCGAAAUUAAGUUUUAGUUCUUGUCCCGGUUGCUUGGAACCGCUGCAAGUCAUUUGUUUACGUUUGGUUUGCUCUUGCAAUAUUAUUUUAACCUAGAAGCUGAAAAUGGACGUUUGUCAUUGAAGUUGUUCAACUAAGUACAAUUCUCGUACGCCGUAGAAAUUCAUUUGAAGAAAAAAAUAUACUUCCAAAUUUCGAGAAUGCCUAGACUAAAGAAAUGUUGUGUACAAGGAUGUACCGAUGAGACAAGUACAAGAAAUCAUUUCCCUAAGAGUAAUUUGGAUUAAUUCAAUAACUGGCUCCAAAUGAUCCAACCAAGAAAUUGGCAACAAUUCAGUAGGCAUCGAAUUUAUGAAGGUUAUUUUGUGUGCCAUUCACAUUUUGAUAAAAAAUAUCAUCUUCCAGGAAGCCAUCGUGGUCUUACUUGCAAUGCCAUACCUACAAUCAGUAUUCCAGGUAAUUUUAUCGAAUUACUCAAUUUUAUUCAUAUUUAAACCCCUUAAAUUUUUGUUCCAUGUGUACUGUCCAAUGGAGCUGUAGUAUAUUCUGGUUUAAACGAUACUAAGAAUUAGGCGUUACAUAGUAUAUAUUUCAGUAAUAGUUAUAGGAUGUAGUACUGUAUGCACUGAUUGAUUCUCUCAAUGUAUCAAAGAUUCGAAAUACACAGGGUAAGUUUUUGAAGGAACCAAUAACCACAAAAUCAGAACAUGAAAUCUUUUGGAAAAAAUCAAUAAAAUUUUUUGAAAACAUGUAUUUUUAUGAUGAAAAAAAAAAUGUGGUGGUACCUACCAUAAAAAAUUUUAUUUUGAUUUUGAAAGCUUUCGUUUACUUUAAGAGGAGGUUGUUAACUGAAAAAAGUUUC